This 25-nucleotide ribosomal RNA is filed under the name uncultured Flavobacteriaceae bacterium. Its description in RNAcentral is "partial 23S ribosomal RNA". The record is from RNAcentral. Lineage: Bacteria; Pseudomonadati; Bacteroidota; Flavobacteriia; Flavobacteriales; Flavobacteriaceae.
UACAAGCUUAUUAAGGGCGUAUGGG